This 387-nucleotide unclassified non-coding RNA is filed under the name soil metagenome. Its description in RNAcentral is "partial contains 5.8S ribosomal RNA, internal transcribed spacer 2, and large subunit ribosomal RNA". The stretch from base 1 to 120 matches the Rfam family "5.8S ribosomal RNA", at positions 35 to 154 of the family's 154-position model. The record is from RNAcentral.
GAUGAAGAACGUAGCGAAAUGCGAUAAGUAAUGUGAAUUGCAGAAUUCAGUGAAUCAUCGAAUCUUUGAGCGCACCUUGCGCUCCUUGGUAUUCCGAGGAGCAUGCCUGUUUGAGUGUCAUGAAAUUCUCAACCUUUUCAGCUUUCUUUGUUGAUCAGGCUUGGAUGUGGGAGUAUGCGGGCUUCUCAGAAGUCGGCUCUCCUGAAAUGCAUUAGCGGGACCUUUGUUGCCUGGCUUUGGUGUGAUAAUUAUCUACGCCAUUGUGGUCAAGCAGCUUAAAAUGAGGUUUCAGCUUCUAACCGUCUCCCCUGAGACAACUUUUUGACAAUUUGACCUCAAAUCAGGUAGGACUACCCGCUGAACUUAAGCAUAUCAAUAAGCGGAGGA